This is a small nuclear RNA of Delphinapterus leucas (beluga whale), 126 nucleotides long. NCBI's taxonomy places the organism in Eukaryota, Metazoa, Chordata, Mammalia, Artiodactyla, Monodontidae. The record is from Ensembl.
UUGUUGUAUGAAAGGAGAGAAGGUUAGCACUCCCCUUGACAAGGAUGGAAGAGGCCCUGGGGCCUGACAACGUGCAUACGGUUAAGGCAGUGCUACCUACUUCAUGGCAUCUAACCACUGUUUUUA